UUUGAGAUUUAUUUGUGACUUUUUGUUAAGACACACAAAAACCUAGCACCUUGAAUACUAAAAAUUUCUCCAAGUCUUUUGCAUAUCUUCUCUCUCUUCCCUUCCAUUAACCCUCUUCGCUUUUCUCAAAUUUUUCCAAAUCCUUCUCUUUUUAGUUUGUACCUCUGAUUUGGUGAAGAUCCAUCCAAAAUCAGCUGCUUUAGUAUCCUCUGUCCCAACUGCACCGAUGUGUCAGACGAUUGUACUGGGUCUGAUUCGGGAUUGCGUCAAUUUGGGGCACUUUGGUUUGAGGAGCGGUAGUUGAUUCUUGGGCUAAGUUCCAUUCACUGUAUCAGAAGAUAGCUUGGAAAACUAAUAACAAUUAUGUAAAGAGCAAGAGGAUGGUCUGAAGAAGAAGGACAAAAGCAUCUCGAGGGCACUUGCUGAUAAUCAAUUGGAAGGAACACAACAAGUAUCAUAACAUGGUUGUACACUAUAUAUAGUGAUGAUGAGAACUAUUUUCCUAAAGAUGCAAACCAAGAACUCAAGACUUCAUCCUCUACAUCUUAGAACUACUUGUUAUCUUGUUGUUUGGCAUCUUUUGGUUUUAGGAAUUGGUUGGGUUAUAGAUUUUUGGAUACAAUACUUUUUUGGUAUAAUAAAUCAAAUUUGUCAUUUUAUUUUAA
Long non-coding RNA from Camelina sativa (false flax), 665 nucleotides. RefSeq lists it as uncharacterized. NCBI's taxonomy places the organism in Eukaryota, Viridiplantae, Streptophyta, Magnoliopsida, Brassicales, Brassicaceae. The record is from RefSeq and is a predicted model, not a curated record.